ACGCUCGACACCUACGGGAGGCAGCAAGUGGGGAAUAUUGCACAAUGGGGGAAACCCUGAUGCAGCGACGCCGCGUGGAGGAAGAAGGUCUUCGGAUUGUAAACUCCUGUUGUUGGGGAAAAAGAGGAUGGUACCCAACAAGGAAGUGACGGCUAACUACGUGUCAGCAGCGCGGUAAUCUGAGCGGGCUGGCAAGGC
This 198-nucleotide ribosomal RNA is filed under the name uncultured bacterium. RNAcentral describes it as "partial 16S ribosomal RNA". It matches the Rfam family "Bacterial small subunit ribosomal RNA", at positions 328 to 539 of the family's 1533-position model. The record is from RNAcentral.